Molecule: ribosomal RNA, 868 nt
Filed under: uncultured bacterium
Lineage: Bacteria
Description: bacterial SSU rRNA
Rfam family: Bacterial small subunit ribosomal RNA
Source: RNAcentral
AGUUUGAUCCUGGCUCAGGAUGAACGCUGGCGGCGUGCCUAAUACAUGCAAGUCGAACGAAUCUCUUUUAGAGAUGAGUGGCGAACGGGUGAGUAAUACAUAGGUAACCUGCCCCUGUGCGGGGGAUAACAGGAGGAAACUCCUGCUAAUACCGCAUAGCCAUGAGCACCGCAUGGAGCUCAUGCCAAAUAUCCUUUAUGGGAUAGCGCAGGGAUGGACCUAUGGCGCAUUAGCUGGUUGGCGGGGCAACGGCCCACCAAGGCAACGAUGCGUAGCCGGCCUGAGAGGGCGGACGGCCACAUUGGGACUGAGACACGGCCCAGACUCCUACGGGAGGCAGCAGUAGGGAAUUUUCGGCAAUGGGGGAAACCCUGACCGAGCAACGCCGCGUGAGCGAAGAAGGCCUUCGGGUCGUAAAGCUCUGUUGUAAAGGAAGAACGGCGCAUACAGGAAAUGGUAUGCGAGUGACGGUACUUUACCAGAAAGCCACGGCUAACUACGUGCCAGCAGCCGCGGUAAUACGUAGGUGGCGAGCGUUAUCCGGAAUCAUUGGGCGUAAAGAGGGAGCAGGCGGCCGCAAGGGUCUGUGGUGAAAGACCGAAGCUAAACUUCGGUAAGCCAUGGAAACCGGGCGGCUAGAGUGCGGAAGAGGAUCGUGGAAUUCCAUGUGUAGCGGUGAAAUGCGUAGAUAUAUGGAGGAACACCAGUGGCGAAGGCGACGGUCUGGGCCGCAACUGACGCUCAUUCCCGAAAGCGUGGGGAGCAAAUAGGAUUAGAUACCCUAGUAGUCCACGCCGUAAACGAUGGUCACUAAGUGUCGGGGGUCAAACCCCGGUGCUGCAGUCAACGCAAUAAGUGACCCGCCUGA